This is a non-coding RNA of Brachypodium distachyon (stiff brome), 125 nucleotides long. NCBI's taxonomy places the organism in Eukaryota, Viridiplantae, Streptophyta, Magnoliopsida, Poales, Poaceae. The record is from Rfam.
AUGGUACUCCCUCCGAUCUAUAUUAAUUGUCUCAAAUUUGCCCAAAUAUGGAUGUAUCUAUGCCUAAAAAGCGUCUAGAUACAUGUAAUAUUUCGACAACUAUUAUGGAUCGGAGGGAGUAUAAG